CCCAGAGCAGUAUACUGCAAGGAUGUGUUAGACAUCGAGCAAUUCUCCACAGUGAAAGGAGUUAACCUGGACCAAACAGAUGAUGAUUUCUAUUCCAAGUUUUCCACAGGAUCAGUGUCUAUUCCAUGGCAAAAUGAGAUGAUAGAAACAGAGUGUUUCAAAGAACUGAAUGUGUUUGGACCAAAUGGUACUAUUUCACCAGACCUAAACAAAAGCUACCCCCCAGAGCCACCCAAGAAAGGAUUGCUACAGAGAAUAUUUAAACGACAGCAUCAGAAUAAUUCAAAGAGUUCUUCAAAUUCAAAGGCCAGUUUAAAUCACCACAUAAAUUCAAAUCACGUAAGUUCAAACUCCACUGGAAGCAGCUAGUUCCAGUUCAGUUCUACGAAACAACAUGUUGCAUCCUUCCACUAUAAUCUAUGGCGCUUCUAUGGAUGAGAGAGCCUCCACCAUUGAGUGAAAAUAAAAAGAAUCUCCCCAAAAGGAGAUUUUCUAUCCAUUCCUUCCAGUGGAGCCUCGCAUUUUAAGAAGAAUUUUCCACUCAGGUCUGUUUUUGGAGGUGGCACUCAAGACUGUGUGAAUCAAAUUUGUCUCUUUAGAACAUUGCAAUAGAAAUUCAAUGAACAUGACUACUUGCACGUAUUUAACUAGCAUCAUACUAGAACUGAAUUUUGUCUUUAUUAUUUUUAAAGGAAAGUUUUGUAAAUUUCUCUAUUGUCUCAGUUUACAUUUUGUACAUUUGUAUUUAAAUGAAAGUCAGACUUUGGAGGUGUAUAUUUUCCAAGCAGCAGCUGUAAAGCCAUGUGUUUUAAGACAUUUUUUUAAGAGAAAAAGAAAAAACCAACAAUGUGACUCGAGACUUCCAGAGCCUCAA
Nestor notabilis (Kea) is the source of this 874-nucleotide long non-coding RNA. RefSeq lists it as uncharacterized. Lineage: Eukaryota; Metazoa; Chordata; Aves; Psittaciformes; Psittacidae. The record is from RefSeq and is a predicted model, not a curated record. The transcript is spliced from 3 exons.